This 76-nucleotide ribosomal RNA is filed under the name Thunnus albacares (yellowfin tuna). Lineage: Eukaryota; Metazoa; Chordata; Actinopteri; Scombriformes; Scombridae. The record is from RNAcentral.
UCAGAAGCCAAACAGGGUCGGGCCUGGUUAGUACUUGGACGGGAGACCGCCUGGGAAUACCAGGUGCUGUAAGCUU